RNAcentral lists this ribosomal RNA (1027 nucleotides) under Amblyopinodes sp. NHMD-JJS-48. Its description in RNAcentral is "partial large subunit ribosomal RNA". It matches the Rfam family "Eukaryotic large subunit ribosomal RNA", at positions 76 to 833 of the family's 3401-position model. Lineage: Eukaryota; Metazoa; Arthropoda; Insecta; Coleoptera; Staphylinidae. The record is from RNAcentral.
UCCCUUAGUAGCGGCGAGCGAACAGGGAAAAGCCCAGCACUGAAUCCCGCGGCCGUCUCGGUCGCCGGGAAAUGUAGUGUUAGGGAGGAUCCGCUAUCCCGAGGUCGCGCGGCGCGUCCAAGUCCUUCUUGAACGGGGCCACUUACCCAUAGAGGGUGCCAGGCCCGUAGGGACUGCCGCCGGCAGCGGGAGGAUCUCUCCUCAGAGUCGGGUUGCUUGAGAGUGCAGCCCUAAGUGGGUGGUAAACUCCAUCUAAGGCUAAAUAUAACCACGAGACCGAUAGCGAACAAGUACCGUGAGGGAAAGUUGAAAAGAACUUUGAAGAGAGAGUUCAAUAGUACGUGAAACCGUUCAGGGGUAAACCUGAGAAACCCGAAAGGUCGAAAGGGGAGAUUCAGCGCGUCUCGCCCGCUUGCGAGCGGCGGUCGUGCGACGGCCGGCCCUCGGGCCGGUCGCGCCUUCCGUCGCCGACUCGCGUCGAACGCGUGCACUUCUCCUCUAGUAGGACGUCGCGACCCGUUGGGCGCCGGUCUAAGGGCCGCGGUGGGAGGCCGGGCGGCGCUUAACGCGUCCGCCCGGACCCGCGGUUCCCGGCCGGCCAGUCCGACGGUACGACACGGCAAAGAAGGGGCCGCGAUAAAAGAUCGCGUCCGGCCCGUCGCAAGUGCUCCGGACGGUGUUCCGUGGACGUCGGACCUAGUGCCGACCCCGGACCCGGCCUGCUGCUGGCGUCGGUGUCCUCGGACAGACCCCGCAGUUGAAAAGCAAAAGCCUGUCGGCGACGCUAUAGCUUUGGGUACUUUCAGGACCCGUCUUGAAACACGGACCAAGGAGUCUAGCAUGUGCGCGAGUCAAUGGGACCUAACGAAACCCAAAGGCGAAAUGAAAGUAAAGGACGCCAUUGCGCGUGCCUAGGGGGGAUGUGCCGGUCAAAGUACCGGCGCCGCACUCCCGGGGCGUCUCGUGCUCAUUGCGAGCUGAGGCGCACCCUGAGCGUACACGCUGGGACCCGAAAGAUGGUGAACUA